RNAcentral lists this long non-coding RNA (281 nucleotides) under Elaeis guineensis (African oil palm). Its description in RNAcentral is "long non-coding RNA (EGUI_LNC061162)". The record is from RNAcentral. Lineage: Eukaryota; Viridiplantae; Streptophyta; Magnoliopsida; Arecales; Arecaceae.
UCAUGAUCUAGAAUCUAAAUAAUCACCAGUCCUUUUAGACUGGUGUGUGGCCUCCCAUAAUCGUAGCUGGCAUAGUGGAUGGUCCAGCUGUUGUAUCUAUAAUAAGUAAAUAAUAAAAUUAAAUUAAUUAAAGCAUACAUUUUUACAGUUCUAAUAAAGUGUUUUGGUAUAGAUUUCUUACCAGUCUAUCGACUAUAAUAUGUGUGCCGAUGGAGCCAUCCAUGUGCCUGAUCGGAUCUUGGUGGGUGGCUCGAUUCUGUUGGGCCCUUUAUCGCCUACUG